ACUCCUGCCCUCCACUCACACCCGACUCACUGCCCUCGUUCGCAGCCGCCCUCCAUCCCUUCGCCGCCGCCAAGACCCCGCUGGAUCUCACCGCCGCCGAUCUCCUCGAGAAGACCCUGUCGGAUCUCACCGUCGCCGAUCUCCUAGAGAAGACCCUGCCCGAUCUCACCGCCGUCGAUCUCCUCGCGAAGAUCCCGCCGGAUCUCGCUGCCGCCGUAACUCCAUAAAGCCGCCGCCGCCGAUCCCCUCCAGAAAACCCCGUCAAUCCCCUCCGGAAGACCCCGCCGGAUCUUGCGUCGGGGCCACGGUUCUGGAUCGGCGUCGCAGGGCGGUUUCAACCAGAGCCGGCGGCCUUGAGGAGAGGAGCUCGACGAGCGGGCAGGGUGACCCCAUGCCUUGGAGACGGCGACCCUCAACCCCUUGCUGCUGUGGUGCACUGGGCACAUAUGUGACGAGGAGGAGGCGAGCCACAAUUCAUCACCUUCCUCGUCUCUCUCAUGGCUGUGCACAAGGAUGUCCGCACCCCGAGCCGAGCUCUGUUUGACCGGAGGACAAGCAGAGGAAAGGCGAACAGGGGUGAUGACGUGGCUCCUGAGCAAGGUGAACAUCGCCUUUAAGGCGAGCGGUGGCGGCACCUUAUCUUGGGCCCCUACAAUAAGUAAACUCAACAUGCGUGAUUCUGAUUAGAGGCAACCCGAUCGUUAUUGAACAUAUUGAUGAUUCCUGUUGUGUAUUCUCAAGGAAUGGUCAGGUUUAGUACUGUAACUAUUUUCUUAUCAAAUAUAUUUGGGUGGUGCUCAAAAUGCAGAGCUGAAAAGCAAGAAACGUAAAGCCACCUCUGAAGAUAAGUUCACCAUGCCUCCCAGAGUGUCACCCCGCUUCGUUGAACUUAAUGGAAUAAGAUCAGAUCAGAAUAACCUUUGUAAACUAGGCAACUGAAUCAUUUCAUUGUUGCUUGUCCAUGUAACGAAGAACUAUCAUUUGGGUACCAAGUUCCACUUCAGGCCAGGAAAAUUUCUUAUAACUUCAAAACGGCAAGGGAUGCACCAUUGUCUUCAGGUCUGCCUUGCAGGUUGGAGUGCAGCUUUCAGAUAUCUUUCUUUCCUUGGGAUAGUUGGAAUGGAAUACUAUGACUAGAUAUACAAUGGUAUUGUUAUCAGUGUUCGGCCUUCAAUGAUUUCGGUGCAGCAUGUCUAGACCAUCAACGGCAAUUUGAGCUCCUUAGUGAAGUAGGUUUGUAAGGCGUUGCUUCAACUCAAGAAAAUCAAUGGCCACAAUUGGGAAGUUGACUGACAAUCCAAAGAGAGUGCCAAUUUUCAAUCUCGUGUUUAGGUGCUUACAUCAAUCUCGUGCAUAGUCUCGAUCACCACCACCGGGGCAGCUACUUCUGCUGGAGGGGCUGGGCGCCGCCGUGCGGAUGCUAUCACCCAUGCGCGCAGUGAUGGCAUGGUGGCCGAAGAAGGCCGUCUUCUGGGGAGCCGCGCGCUGGCCGCCAUCUCCACCCGCGGCCACACCAACAAGACAGGUGAUUUUAGGGUUGGUUCUGUCUGAAACCAAGCUGGCAGUAAUAUGCAGAGAAGGUUCGCCUGACAUAAUGACCAACGGAGCAAGUUGUUUUUUCUUGAUGAAAAUGAUAGCUACCACUUGAUGAGAUUUAGCAAUACAAGCAUUUCCUCUAAUUUUAUUUGUAGGUCUGCAGGAGGUGCCUUUGAGAACUUGAUCAGCUACUUGAGCUUCAUUGUCAGCGAAGUCUCCACUGGGUUGCCCAGAUCUGUCCUGAAUUGCUUCAUUGAUGACAAUUUGGAGAGGGCUCCGCUGACACUUACAAAGGAUGUUUUCCUUUGUUGGAAAGACGAGGAUACGCUGGAGAUAGACAUGGGGUGGUAAGAAAAUGAUGAGUUACUGAUGAUAUUAUGCUUGCUGGUCUAAACCUACAUGUAUUAUGUCAGUUUGUUGUUAAGAGUAUCUUGAAAAUAUAAAGCCACUGGAUGGCCAGGCAUUCUAUACUAUCGUCUUUCCAAGAGCCCACAUUUCUGCAUGUAUAUAUUUGUUGUACAGCCUAUGCUGGUUUGCCUAUAAUAAUUAUCAGAAGGUAAUAUGCAGCA
Molecule: long non-coding RNA, 2105 nt
Organism: Triticum dicoccoides
Lineage: Eukaryota; Viridiplantae; Streptophyta; Magnoliopsida; Poales; Poaceae
Exons: 7
Source: RefSeq, a predicted model, not a curated record